AUACAGAGGGUGCAAGCGUUAAUCGGAAUUACUGGGCGUAAAGCGCGCGUAGGCGGUUUAAUCAGUCGGAUGUGAAAGCCCCGGGCUCAACCUGGGAACUGCAUUCGAUACUGUUAAGCUAGAGUAUGGUAGAGGGAAGUGGAAUUCCAGGUGUAGCGGUGAAAUGCGUAGAUAUCUGGAGGAACAUCAGUGGCGAAGGCGACUUCCUGGACCAAUACUGACGCUGAGGUGCGAAAGCGUGGGGAGCAAACAGGAUUAGAUACCCUUGUAGUCC
RNAcentral lists this ribosomal RNA (274 nucleotides) under uncultured bacterium. RNAcentral's name for it is "partial 16S ribosomal RNA". It matches the Rfam family "Bacterial small subunit ribosomal RNA", at positions 523 to 796 of the family's 1533-position model. The record is from RNAcentral.